UACAGGGGGUGCAAACGUUGCUCGGAAUUAUUGGGCGUAAAGCGCGCGUAGGCGGUUACUCAAGUCGGAUGUGAAAGCCCUCGGCUUAACUGAGGAAGUGCACCCGAAACUGAGUAGCUAGAGUACUAAAGAGGGUCGCGGAAUUCCCGGUGUAGAGGUGAAAUUCGUAGAUAUCGGGAGGAACACCGGUGGCGAAGGCGGCGACCUGGGUAGAUACUGACGCUGAGGCGCGAAAGCGUGGGGAGCAAACAGG
RNAcentral lists this ribosomal RNA (253 nucleotides) under uncultured bacterium. RNAcentral's name for it is "partial 16S ribosomal RNA". It matches the Rfam family "Bacterial small subunit ribosomal RNA", at positions 524 to 776 of the family's 1533-position model. The record is from RNAcentral.